GGCCUUACACAUGCCAGUCGAGCGGCAGCGGGUCCUUCGGGAUGCCGGCGAGCGGCGGACGGGUGAGUAAUGCCUAGGAAUCUGCCUGGUAGUGGGGGAUAACUCGGGGAAACUCGAGCUAAUACCGCAUACGUCCUACGGGAGAAAGUGGGGGAUCUUCGGACCUCACGCUAUCAGAUGAGCCUAGGUCGGAUUAGCUAGUUGGUGAGGUAAAGGCUCACCAAGGCGACGAUCCGUAACUGGUCUGAGAGGAUGAUCAGUCACACUGGAACUGAGACACGGUCCAGACUCCUACGGGAGGCAGCAGUGGGGAAUAUUGGACAAUGGGCGAAAGCCUGAUCCAGCCAUGCCGCGUGUGUGAAGAAGGUCUUCGGAUUGUAAAGCACUUUAAGUUGGGAGGAAGGGCAGUAAGUUAAUACCUUGCUGUUUUGACGUUACCAACAGAAUAAGCACCGGCUAACUUCGUGCCAGCAGCCGCGGUAAUACGAAGGGUGCAAGCGUUAAUCGGAAUUACUGGGCGUAAAGCGCGCGUAGGUGGUUCAGCAAGUUGGAGGUGAAAUCCCCGGGCUCAACCUGGGAACUGCCUCCAAAACUACUGGGCUAGAGUAUGGUAGAGGGUGGUGGAAUUUCCUGUGUAGCGGUGAAAUGCGUAGAUAUAGGAAGGAACACCAGUGGCGAAGGCGACCACCUGGACUAAUACUGACACUGAGGUGCGAAAGCGUGGGGAGCAAACAGGAUUAGAUACCCUGGUAGUCCACGCCGUAAACGAUGUCGACUAGCCGUUGGGAUCCUUGAGAUCUUAGUGGCGCAGCUAACGCGAUAAGUCGACCGCCUGGGGAGUACGGCCGCAAGGUUAAAACUCAAAUGAAUUGACGGGGGCCCGCACAAGCGGUGGAGCAUGUGGUUUUAAUUCGAAGCAACGCGAAGAACCUUACCUGGGCCUUGACAUGCUGAGAACUUUCCAGAGAUGGAUUGGUUGCCUUUCGGGAACUCAGACACAGGUGCUGCAUGGGCUGUCGUCAGCUCGUGGUCCGUGGAGAUGAUUGGG
RNAcentral lists this ribosomal RNA (1048 nucleotides) under Pseudomonas sp. HRB-12. Its description in RNAcentral is "bacterial SSU rRNA". It matches the Rfam family "Bacterial small subunit ribosomal RNA", at positions 45 to 1080 of the family's 1533-position model. Lineage: Bacteria; Pseudomonadati; Pseudomonadota; Gammaproteobacteria; Pseudomonadales; Pseudomonadaceae. The record is from RNAcentral.